RNAcentral lists this ribosomal RNA (447 nucleotides) under uncultured bacterium. RNAcentral's name for it is "bacterial SSU rRNA". It matches the Rfam family "Bacterial small subunit ribosomal RNA", at positions 355 to 825 of the family's 1533-position model. The record is from RNAcentral.
UCGAGAAUCUUUCGCAAUGGGCGAAAGCCUGACGAAGCGACGCCGCGUGGGGGACGAAGUUCUUCGGAAUGUAAACUCCUGUCAGGGGAAAGAAAGUUCUGAUCUACCCCAGAGGAAGAGGCGGCUAACUCUGUGCCAGCAGCCGCGGUAAUACAGAGGCCUCGAGCGUUAGACGGAAUCACUGGGCUUAAAGCGUGUGUAGGCGGAAGGGUAAGUACCUUGUGAAAUCCCACGGCUUAACCGUGGAACGGCUUGGUAUACUGCUUUUCUUGAGCAAUCUAGGGGCGAGUGGAACAGAUGGUGGAGCGGUGAAAUGCGUAGAUAUCAUCUGGAACGCCAAUGGUGAAGACAACUCGCUGGGGAUUUGCUGGCGCUGAGACACGAAAGCCAGGGGAGCGAACGGGAUUAGAUACCCUUGUAGUCCCUGAGCGGGCUGGCAAGGCGCAU